Molecule: ribosomal RNA, 302 nt
Filed under: uncultured Hydrogenophaga sp.
Lineage: Bacteria; Pseudomonadati; Pseudomonadota; Betaproteobacteria; Burkholderiales; Comamonadaceae
Description: bacterial SSU rRNA
Rfam family: Bacterial small subunit ribosomal RNA
Source: RNAcentral
AUUGAACGCUGGCGGCAUGCUUUACACAUGCAAGUCGAACGGUAACAGGUCUUCGGAUGCUGACGAGUGGCGAACGGGUGAGUAAUGCAUCGGAACGUGCCCAGUCGUGGGGGAUAACGUAGCGAAAGCUACGCUAAUACCGCAUACGAUCUAUGGAUGAAAGCGGGGGACCUUAGGGCCUCGCGCGAUUGGAGCGGCCGAUGUCAGAUUAGGUAGUUGGUGGGGUAAAGGCUCACCAAGCCAACGAUCUGUAGCUGGUCUGAGAGGACGACCAGCCACACUGGAACUGAGACACGGUCCAG